UGGUUUGCUAGUCUUCUAUUUCUGUGCUGCGAGGCGGGAGAACGUUUAAAUAAUUCAAUAGUUUAGCAAGUCUGAAAUUUAAAAUUUCCCCUAUCACGAGCAAAACAUCGGACGAUGACUGGAAAAACAAAAUAGACAGGAAAAAAGUGCGCUAUUCGAACUGAAUGAAAUGGUUUUGAUCCAGAACAAGGGAUAUGAAAAAUGAAGAAACAAGCCCAGACGAUGACGAAGCCACGAAUAUUCUAGAGGCUGAAUAUAACGAUCCUCCUCGGCAUACCAAGACGAGGCAACAACUCCUCGACACCUGCCUACCCGGACCCAGAAUAGUUUGCGGGUAUUGCCAUCGGGGUUCCCUCAAAACCUCUGCGAAAAGCUGUUAGACGUUUUUGAGAAACUGGGUCCUACCAAGGAAGGCCGGGUUUUGAAACCCUAGGGUAACAGAGCCACAUGACUGAGAAUUUUGUGAAACUGGCACCUUACUGUUGUUCAAGCGGUUCAUCAACUCCAGGAAG
Cimex lectularius (bed bug) is the source of this 512-nucleotide long non-coding RNA. RefSeq lists it as uncharacterized. NCBI's taxonomy places the organism in Eukaryota, Metazoa, Arthropoda, Insecta, Hemiptera, Cimicidae. The record is from RefSeq and is a predicted model, not a curated record. The transcript is spliced from 4 exons.